RNAcentral lists this long non-coding RNA (253 nucleotides) under Monodelphis domestica (gray short-tailed opossum). RNAcentral describes it as "lncRNA (ENSMODG00000041789.1)". The record is from RNAcentral. Lineage: Eukaryota; Metazoa; Chordata; Mammalia; Didelphimorphia; Didelphidae.
AACUGAAAGGAGUAGAGUAGGGGCAAUUGUGAGAUGAGAAUGUGAACAGAGACCAGACCAGAGACCUGAGAUCUGGCAAUUGGGGAGAACAAGUUGUUUUCAGAUAAAGAAAGGAUAAAUACAAAGAAGAAAAAAAAAUGAUCCCUUCCAUAUACCAGUACAAAGAAAUGUCACUUCAAUAGAUUGUUUCUUAUUACCUAGGCACUUCAAAGAGCAUUACUCUCAGAAGUAUGGAUUUGUAUUGCCAACAGCC